RNAcentral lists this ribosomal RNA (88 nucleotides) under Enterococcus faecium. RNAcentral describes it as "partial 23S ribosomal RNA". It matches the Rfam family "Bacterial large subunit ribosomal RNA", at positions 2838 to 2925 of the family's 2925-position model. The record is from RNAcentral. Lineage: Bacteria; Bacillati; Bacillota; Bacilli; Lactobacillales; Enterococcaceae.
UGAGAGAUGAUCAGGUAGAUAGGUCAGGAGUGGAAGUACAGUGAUGUAUGGAGCGGACUGAUACUAAUCGAUCGAGGACUUAACCAAU